CUGAUAAUAUAUUAAAGGGCUGCAGUAUUUUGACUGUACAAAGGUAGCAUAAUCAAUAGUCUCUUAAUUGGUGACUUGUAUGAAAGAUUGGAUGAAAUAUAAACUGUCUCUUAUUUAUAAAAAGAAUUUAAUUUUUUGAUUAAAAAGUCAAAAUAAAUUUAAAAGACGAGAAGACCCUAUAGAGUUUUAUAUUUAAAUUUAUUGAGAUUAUAUUUUAGUUUAAUAAUUAAAAUUAAUUUAAAUAUUUUGUUGGGGUGAUAAAAAAAUAUAAAUAACUUUUUUUAAUAUGUUAUCAUAAAUAAAUGAAUAAAUGAUCCAGAAAUUUUGAUUAAAAGAAAAAAUUACCUUAGGGAUAACAGCGUAAUUUUUUUUUUUAGUUCAAAUAAGAAAAAGAGUUUGCGACCUCGAUGUUGGAUUAAGAUAAAAUUUAUAUGCAAAAGUAUAAAAUUUUGAUCUGUUCGAUC
Molecule: ribosomal RNA, 464 nt
Filed under: Loxostege sticticalis (beet webworm)
Lineage: Eukaryota; Metazoa; Arthropoda; Insecta; Lepidoptera; Crambidae
Description: partial 16S ribosomal RNA
Source: RNAcentral